GAGAUGGAGGACCGUCUGCCCGACCUCACCUGUGGCUGUCCCCCGGCACUGUCUAGAAUACAGAGAAGCAGUUCGCCUUGAAUCAAGGCAGGCAUCUUUCAGGGGUCAGCUGUCCUUGACCUCACUCCUCGCGGCUGGCCCACCAUUCACGUGUCCAGAGACUCUUUCAGAGGGGAGGCUGGGAAGAGCAGACGUGGGGAGGAGAAGGAAUGCCGUUCUUCUGGAAGCAGGGAUCUUCCAGGAUAACUAAAGUUUCAACUCUUGCGAUGACGGGGUGCAGCCCUGUAUUCACAAUGCAGCAGGUGGUGGGUGUAUCCCAUAGACUGGUAUGGAGAACCUUUCGUGGAACGGACCUCCUCAUGACAAGGACUCUGUGCAGUCCAGGUCCCAGCCGACCUGGAGAGAAGCGACCAGAAGCUGCAGCCUUAGGGCUGUAUCAUCGCCUCCCCGAGUUGGGAAGAACACUAAGCCACACCAUUCGGAAUCAAGCAGCCUCAACUGCCAAGGCUUGGUGGGACAGAUAUGAGGAGUUUGUAGGACUCAAUGAAGUUCGAGAGGCCCAGGGAAACGUG
This 572-nucleotide long non-coding RNA is filed under the name Rattus norvegicus (Norway rat). Its description in RNAcentral is "long non-coding RNA NONRATT028067". The record is from RNAcentral. Lineage: Eukaryota; Metazoa; Chordata; Mammalia; Rodentia; Muridae.